Molecule: ribosomal RNA, 495 nt
Filed under: uncultured bacterium
Lineage: Bacteria
Description: partial 16S ribosomal RNA
Rfam family: Bacterial small subunit ribosomal RNA
Source: RNAcentral
GACGAACGCUGGCGGCGUGCCUAAUACAUGCAAGUAGAACGCUGAAGGAGGAGCUUGCUUCUCUGGAUGAGUUGCGAACGGGUGAGUAACGCGUAGGUAACCUGCCUGGUAGCGGGGGAUAACUAUUGGAAACGAUAGCUAAUACCGCAUAAGAGUAGAUGUUGCAUGACAUUUGCUUAAAAGGUGCAAUUGCAUCACUACCAGAUGGACCUGCGUUGUAUUAGCUAGUUGGUGAGGUAACGGCUCACCAAGGCGACGAUACAUAGCCGACCUGAGAGGGUGAUCGGCCACACUGGGACUGAGACACGGCCCAGACUCCUACGGGAGGCAGCAGUAGGGAAUCUUCGGCAAUGGACGGAAGUCUGACCGAGCAACGCCGCGGGAGUGAAGAAGGUUUUCGGAUCGUAAAGCUCUGUUGUAAGAGAAGAACGAGUGUGAGAGUGGAAAGUUCACACUGUGACGGUAUCUUACCAGAAAGGGACGGCUAACUACGUG